UACGUAGGGGGCUAGCGUUGUCCGGAAUCAUUGGGCGUGAAGCGCGUGUAGGCGGCCCGGUAAGUCCGCUGUGAAAGUCGGGGGCUCAACCCUCGAAAGCCGGUGGAUACUGUCGAGCUCGAGUGCGGAAGAGGCGAGUGGAAUUCCUGGUGUAGCGGUGAAAUGCGCAGAUAUCAGGAGGAACACCGAUUGCGAAGGCAGCUCGCUGGGACGUUACUGACGCUGAGACGCGAAAGCGUGGGGAGCAAACAGG
RNAcentral lists this ribosomal RNA (253 nucleotides) under uncultured bacterium. RNAcentral's name for it is "partial 16S ribosomal RNA". It matches the Rfam family "Bacterial small subunit ribosomal RNA", at positions 524 to 776 of the family's 1533-position model. The record is from RNAcentral.